Molecule: non-coding RNA, 72 nt
Organism: Entelurus aequoreus (snake pipefish)
Lineage: Eukaryota; Metazoa; Chordata; Actinopteri; Syngnathiformes; Syngnathidae
Source: the annotation of a RefSeq genome assembly
AUUUGAAUAACUCAGUGGUAGAGUGUUAGGCUGAAAACCUAAAAGUCGUUGGUUCGAAUCCAAUUUCAAAUA